This 617-nucleotide ribosomal RNA is filed under the name uncultured bacterium. RNAcentral describes it as "bacterial SSU rRNA". It matches the Rfam family "Bacterial small subunit ribosomal RNA", at positions 28 to 638 of the family's 1533-position model. The record is from RNAcentral.
GAUGAACGCUAGCGGCAGGCUUAAUACAUGCAAGUCGUGGGGCAGCGCAGUGUAGCAAUACAUGGGCGGCGACCGGCAAACGGGUGCGGAACACGUACGCAACCUUCCUUUAAGUGGGGGAUAGCCCAGGGAAACUUGGAUUAAUACCCCGUAACAUUAUGAGAUGGCAUCAUUUUAUAAUUAAAGCUUCGGCGCUUAAAGAUGGGCGUGCGUCUGAUUAGGUAGUUGGCGGGGUAACGGCCCACCAAGCCUACGAUCAGUAACUGGUGUGAGAGCACGACCAGUCACACGGGCACUGAGACACGGGCCCGACUCCUACGGGAGGCAGCAGUAAGGAAUAUUGGUCAAUGGACGCAAGUCUGAACCAGCCAUGCCGCGUGAAGGAUGAAGGUCCUCUGGAUUGUAAACUUCUUUUACCUGGGAAGAAACCCAUAUUUUCUAAUGUGGUUGACGGUACCAGAUGAAUAAGCACCGGCUAACUCCGUGCCAGCAGCCGCGGUAAUACGGAGGGUGCAAGCGUUAUCCGGAUUCACUGGGUUUAAAGGGUGCGUAGGUGGGCAGGUAAGUCAGUGGUGAAAUCUCCGGGCUUAACCCGGAAACUGCCAUUGAUACUAUUU